CAUCCCGCAGACACGGCUUCAUCCCUGGUAGUAAGAGAGCUGAGAAACCACUCUUUCCCGGAGAGAGACACAGGUGGCAAAAUAAAAGAAAAACUCUUACCAUCUCUUGGAUCUGCAGCACAAGUUCUGAAAAUGCAGCCAACACCAGAGUGGCCCAGGAGGUGAGCACGGGGCUCUGAAGCCAGAUUUGCCAGAGUUCCAAUCACAGCCCCCAGCCAUCAGAGAGACAGACAGAGACAGACAAACAGGCAGAGCCGCAGUGCACACGGUCCGUGUGUCGGAGAGGCCGCCAGGAGACUCACCGCAGCAAUGCUACGUGAAUGCAGAGGGCUGGAGGUGAUGUGACUACUCACUUGCUCGGCUAACAGCUGCC
RNAcentral lists this long non-coding RNA (373 nucleotides) under Homo sapiens (human). RNAcentral's name for it is "HSALNT0269749". The record is from RNAcentral. Lineage: Eukaryota; Metazoa; Chordata; Mammalia; Primates; Hominidae.